RNAcentral lists this ribosomal RNA (255 nucleotides) under Massilia hydrophila. Its description in RNAcentral is "partial 23S ribosomal RNA". It matches the Rfam family "Bacterial large subunit ribosomal RNA", at positions 457 to 717 of the family's 2925-position model. Lineage: Bacteria; Pseudomonadati; Pseudomonadota; Betaproteobacteria; Burkholderiales; Oxalobacteraceae. The record is from RNAcentral.
CCUCCAAGGCUAAAUACUCGUAAUCGACCGAUAGUGAACCAGUACCGUGAGGGAAAGGCGAAAAGAACCCCGGGAGGGGAGUGAAAUAGAUCCUGAAACCGUGUGCAUACAAACAGUCGGAGCCUCUAUAUGGGGUGACGGCGUACCUUUUGUAUAAUGGGUCAGCGACUUACAUUCAGUGGCGAGGUUAACCGAAUAGGGGAGCCGUAGAGAAAUCGAGUCCGAACAGGGCGACAGUCGCUGGGUGUAGACCCG